GACGAACGCUGGCGGCGUGCUUAACACAUGCAAGUCGAGCGGUAAGGCCCUUUCGGGGGUACACGAGCGGCGAACGGGUGAGUAACACGUGGGUGACCUGCCCUUAGCUCUGGGAUAAGCCUGGGAAACUGGGUCUAAUACCGGAUAUGACUCCAUGACGCAUGUUGUGGGGUGGAAAGCCUUGUGCGGCUAGGGAUGGGCCCGCGGCCUAUCAGCUUGUUGGUGGGGUGAUGGCCUACCAAGGCGACGACGGGUAGCCGGCCUGAGAGGGCGACCGGCCACACUGGGACUGAGACACGGCCCAGACUCCUACGGGAGGC
This 320-nucleotide ribosomal RNA is filed under the name uncultured bacterium. RNAcentral's name for it is "bacterial SSU rRNA". It matches the Rfam family "Bacterial small subunit ribosomal RNA", at positions 28 to 349 of the family's 1533-position model. The record is from RNAcentral.